CGCACGACGUCCGCCGAGAUGGAGGAGCGCGCCGUGCGUCGGGGUGACAUCACUGGGGCGCCGAACGUCUGCCGAGUGAAGCCUGGAAAAAAGGAAGGGAACACAAAGAAAAUCAGACUACAAGCUACACUGAUGAAGACCAAAAGUAGAGAUGAUGGAAUGACAGCAGAGUGACUGUUACCAAUGCAAGGAAGAUCGUUUUUGUUAACUGGAGUCUUUGAAGAUGGAAGCAUGGGAUCUGAUCUCAAGCACAGGAGAGUGAGGUAAAGCCCAGGAGGACUACUGUGGAGACUGAAGGCUGAACUGGCUCAAUUCCAAUGUUUAUAAAAUGAUGUCAUGGUGAGGAUGUUUUUGGCUGUAGAAGCACACGAAGACAUGCCUUAUCAUCUAAGCUUGUUGACUGUGAAUGUGUAUCCUGUGGGUGUUUCUUGUUCAGCAUUUUUCCAAAGGGUCAUGUCAAGUUAGUUCAGGUUUACUUUUUUUUUUUUUUUCGUUUCAUUUUGAUUUUUUUUUACAUACACUUUCUUUUUCAAAAAUUUAUUUAUUUAUGGGGCCGGCGCCAUGGCGCAGUAGGUUAAUCCUCUGCCUGAGGUGCUGGCAUCCCAUAUGGGUGCCAGUUCUGGUCUGGCUGCUCCUCUUCCAGUCCAGCUCUCUGCUAUGGCCUGGGAAAGCAGUCGAAGAUGGCCCAAGUCCUUGGGCCCCUGCAUUCA
Molecule: long non-coding RNA, 710 nt
Organism: Lepus europaeus (European hare)
Lineage: Eukaryota; Metazoa; Chordata; Mammalia; Lagomorpha; Leporidae
Exons: 3
Source: RefSeq, a predicted model, not a curated record